This 77-nucleotide transfer RNA is filed under the name Chloroflexota bacterium. Its description in RNAcentral is "Chloroflexi bacterium tRNA-Val". It matches the Rfam family "tRNA". Rfam says of the family: Transfer RNA (tRNA) molecules are approximately 80 nucleotides in length. Their secondary structure includes four short double-helical elements and three loops (D, anti-codon, and T loops). The record is from RNAcentral. Lineage: Bacteria; Bacillati; Chloroflexota.
GGGCGCUUAGCUCAGUUGGUUAGAGCGCUUCCUUUACACGGAAGAAGUCAGGGGUUCGAGUCCCUUAGCGCCCACCA